CAAAGUUAGAGAGAGAAAAAAAAAGAGAGAUAAUAAAAGAAAAAGAGCGAAAAAAGGUGCCUACCCAAGAAAACUCAGGGAAUUUGAGAGUUUUUCCUUGAGAAAAAUCUGCCUGGAUUGGAAGACGAAGGGAGAGGAAGGAAGAAGGAAGGAAGAAACCAAAAGAAAAGAGAUAAAAAGAGGGAGAAAACUCAUAACCAACACAAGGGAACUUGCAAGCUUAAGGUUAGAAAUAGCUCAAAAACAUCCCAGAAUUCUGUUGAAUUUUUUGGAGAAAAAGGCUCAAAAUUAAGCCAGAACUCUGGUGGAGUUAAAGUUGCAAGUGAUAUGAGAGACCGCUGAGGAAUAAGCGGUAAUAGCAGAGAAGUCUUUUGCAAAUUAGAAUCUAUAAGAACUCAGAUUAAUAUUUUAUAUAUUUGCUUCAUAAUGUAAGAAAGAAAAAUUUUAGAGUCUUGUUUUGUAUGUAUCUAUUGUACAUAUAUCAAGGAAUGUAACACUUUUGUAUUUCUGUAUUAAUUAAAGUCUCAUUAUGUUUUAUUUAAUUUAGUGUAAAGUGUAGUGUGCUUCGAACACACCCUAUAAGAGGGGGGUCGCCGCAAAA
This is a long non-coding RNA of Carica papaya (papaya), 601 nucleotides long. RefSeq lists it as uncharacterized. NCBI's taxonomy places the organism in Eukaryota, Viridiplantae, Streptophyta, Magnoliopsida, Brassicales, Caricaceae. The record is from RefSeq and is a predicted model, not a curated record.